This 253-nucleotide ribosomal RNA is filed under the name uncultured bacterium. RNAcentral's name for it is "partial 16S ribosomal RNA". It matches the Rfam family "Bacterial small subunit ribosomal RNA", at positions 524 to 776 of the family's 1533-position model. The record is from RNAcentral.
UACAGAGGUCCCAAGCGUUGUUCGGAUUCAUUGGGCGUAAAGGGUGCGUAGGUGGCGCCGUAAGUCGGGUGUGAAAUUUCGGAGCUUAACUCCGAAACUGCAUUCGAUACUGCCGUGCUUGAGGACUGGAGAGGAGACUGGAAUUUACGGUGUAGCGGUGAAAUGCGUAGAUAUCGUAAGGAAGACCAGUGGCGAAGGCGGGUCUCUGGACAGUUCCUGACGCUGAGGCACGAAGGUCAGGGGAGCAAACGGG